Molecule: ribosomal RNA, 424 nt
Filed under: uncultured bacterium
Lineage: Bacteria
Description: bacterial SSU rRNA
Rfam family: Bacterial small subunit ribosomal RNA
Source: RNAcentral
GGGCCCGCACAAGCGGUGGAGCAUGUGGUUUAAUUCGAUGAUACGCGAGGAACCUUACCAGGGCUUAAAUGCAGUCCGACAGGGGUGGAAACACCCUUUUCUUCGGACGGAUUGCAAGGUGCUGCAUGGUUGUCGUCAGCUCGUGCCGUGAGGUGUCAGGUUAAGUCCUAUAACGAGCGCAACCCUUGCCGUUAGUUGCCAGCAUGUAAAGAUGGGAACUCUAACGGGACUGCCGGUGCAAACCGCGAGGAAGGUGGGGAUGACGUCAAAUCAUCACGGCCCUUACGUCCUGGGCCACACACGUGCUACAAUGGCCGGUACAGAGGGCAGCCACGCCGCAAGGCGGAGCGAAUCCUUAAAACCGGUCUCAGUUCGGAUCGGGGUCUGCAACUCGACCCCGUGAAGCUGGAAUCGCUAGUAAUCG